RNAcentral lists this long non-coding RNA (1319 nucleotides) under Olea europaea subsp. europaea. The record is from RNAcentral. Lineage: Eukaryota; Viridiplantae; Streptophyta; Magnoliopsida; Lamiales; Oleaceae.
CAUAAAGAAGCUAGAAACUGGGGCAGAAAUAGAGAGAAAAACUGGCAAAAGAAAGAGAAAAAGAGAAGAAGAAAAGAAGAAAGAAAAGGAAGAAGAAGGAAGAAGAAGAAAAAAUGAUGGCAAUACCAACAUGGACCUUAAAGUCCUUCCUUAAUUACUUCAGGUAAGUAAAAGAUGUACUUAUGGGAAAUAAUUCUUGAAUUUAAGGUUUGUAAACAAUUACUCAUGUUAAAGUUGUAUUUGAGGUUAUAACUAAAUUAUGGCAAAGAAAUAUGUAAUUGUAAAUUAGUGUUGAAGAAAGUGGAAUUUGAGAUGGGUUUUUGAAAGAAAUACAUAUUUUUGAAAUUCUUGGGACUAUAUGAUGUUAAACACUUAAAUUAAGGACUUGAGGUUGAAAUUUUCCAUUUUUCCUAAAGAAAUUUUCAGGUUAUGUAAUGAAGGUGCUACUUUCUAAAUUUUCCCAGAAAAGUGUUAUUCUGUCCAUAUUUUGGUGAGUUUUCUAUAUAUAGAAUUUGGUGUCAUAAUUCAAUAUUUUGGAACUUUAGUGCCGUUUUUGUCAAAUAUUUGAUUUUCAGAUUUUAAAGGUUCGAAUGAAGUUAUAUGUGAAAUGCUGAAGCCUAUGUAUUGGACUAAAUUAUAUAUAGGGGUUGCAUAUAUACAAACUAAGUUAUACCAUUUUUUAUAAACCCGAGAAUUUUAAUUAGAUACUUGAGUAAAGAUAGUUUGGGAAAAUGAUAAUUAUCACGAAAUAUUCACUUGGAAGAAUGGUUUUAUGGAACAAAUGUAAAUUUAAUUGGUUGAAUUAUGGUUAUUAGCUUUGCUAGAUUGGAAGAUGGGAUAAUUAUUUUCAUGAUUAGAAUAAAGGUUAUGUGAUGAAUUGGCUAUUAGAUAAUGGACUAGAAAGUGGAAUUAGCUUGAAGUGAUUAAAGGAAAUUGGGGAAAGUUAUUCAAGUAUCGAGAAAUCAAGUCUUAGAUUUGAUCAUCAAUAUUUAAAACUACUUAGCAAGAUAGUGGUUAAAUUAGUUAUUUUACAUUGUCUUUCAGGUGGUGGCGAAGAGAUGGGAAAAACUUGUCAACCAUCAUGACCAUUAGCUUGUUUAGAGUGAGUGGAUAUCGCAUUUAUUUAAAUUAUAUUAGUUCUCAAACUUAUACGAAAUAAUUGUUCAUUAGAUUUCUUAUAGUAAAUCAUACAAGCUGCAAAAUUUAUUUAUUUCAGAAGAUUGAUUUAGAAAGUGUGAUUUUCAGAAUUAAGUUAUGAUUUUUUUUUAAGCAAUGCUUCUAAAAGAGAAAUUCAGUUCAGUUAAAUUAUUUCAUUAGCA